This is a long non-coding RNA of Mercenaria mercenaria, 2720 nucleotides long. RefSeq lists it as uncharacterized. The record is from RefSeq and is a predicted model, not a curated record. NCBI's taxonomy places the organism in Eukaryota, Metazoa, Mollusca, Bivalvia, Venerida, Veneridae. The transcript is spliced from 2 exons.
CAUAUUUCAUGAUAGUGCAUUGAUGGGCGUGUCCGGUCCAUAUCUUUGUCAUUCAUGCAUGGAUUUUGAAAUUAUUGGGCAUGAAUGUGUACCACAGUAAGACGACAUGUCGCGCGCAAGACCCAGGUCCGUAGCUCAAAAGUCAAGGUCACACUUAGACGUUAAAGGUCAUAUUUCAUGACAGUGCAAUGAUGGGCAUGUCCGGUCCAUAUCUUUGUCAUUCAUGCAUGGAUUUUAAAAUAACUACCCAUGAAUGUGUGGCACAGUAAGACGACGUGUCGCGCGCAAGACCCAGGUCCGAGGUCAAAGGUCCUAAACUCUAACAUCGGCCAUAACUAUUCAUUCAAAGUGAAUGGGGGCAUGUGUCAUCCUAUGGAGACAGCUCUUGUUUAUCUUAUAAACUAUUGUAGUGACUUUCAAACAAUUGUUAACCUCAUCCAGAUGACAUGCAGAGUGCACAACACAGAUCACUAGAACAAAGGUCGCACUGAGGUCAAAUAUGUAUCUGUUCCAUAUCUUUUUAACUUCUGGAAAGAUUUUUUUCAAAACAGGCACCAAUUGUUAUCCUCAUCAAGACAAAAUGCUGAGUAUACAAUCAAGGUUACAAGGUCAAGGUUACACUUGAAGGGACGAGAUCAGGCUUGAAGGUCAAAGGUCAUGAUCACAAUAUGUUUUCCUUGCCAUGUAUCAAAGUGACAUUUGGGGUUAUAAGUCACCUAGUUUGAGUUGCUUCAGUUUGUAAACAGUAGAAUAAAUUUAACAUUGAUCAGAGAUUUAAGAAUGUUUCAUGAAUUGUGAAGUAAGCUUUCUGACUGGUUGUGAUGAAGACAAGUUCUCUAUAAGCAACCAGUAAUGAAGUACGAGAAGAUUUAUUUGUAAGCUUGUUUACUGCUGAAUGAAGAUAGAUGUACUUAAGCUGUAAUAACGUUAGCUCUUAAAUGUUUUAAUACCAGUAUUACCAGGGCCUUUUUCAGCUAAUUGUGAAGAGGCCCUAGCUGUUUUGUUUUGUGAAAAGCAAGCAUGAUUCCCUUGGAAAUUAUGAAGUUUUAGAAUUAUUUUCCUAGAACUGAAAAGCGCGAUGGAUUUGCAUCCAUCUAAAACAAUCUGAAAGUACUUCUGAAUGAUCAGGAGUAUUUGUCUUUAAAAUGAUAUUAUUUUUUAACAAAUUCUACUUAUUAGACUAGCAGAUAGCAUUAGAUUUUUUUCUUUUGGUUUGUAGAAAUAAAUGAAUCAUUUAUAUAAAAUGAUUGCAAAAUGUCUUGUUGAGAGAUAAUCUCAUUAUCACACACAAGUAACCAGUAAAGAAGUGAGAUGUGAUGACGAGGCUUUAGCCUCCAUUUCAGUAGGAUACAUACCGGUAUAUUAUAUCUGCAUGAAGAUAGUUAAGAGAAUAUAAAUCCGGUAUGCAGAAUCAGGAACGGAAUACAGUUGAAACUCGCUAUCUUGAACCCCCUUAUCUCAAGCAUCCAGCUAUCUUGGAGACAUUUUCAAGUCCUGUCUUGAAAACAUGUGUACAAAUCAUUUUAAGUCAAAGUUUGGUUAUCUGGAAGUAAAAAAUCUGAUCCCUUGGAAUUCAAUAUACGGAAUUUCAACUGUUUAAAAUAAGGAUCACUUUCCUAUAGUUAAGUUGCUGUUUUAUAUAGUCUGGGCUAUUCUACUCACCCUGGCAUCGGCAUCAGGGUCACACCUUGGUUAAAGUUUUGCAUGCAAGUACAUAAUAGCUUUCAUUUAAAGGCAUAUAACUUUGAAUCUUAUUUUUUUCUUUUUCUAGGUCAAUUACCAACCUCACUGGGUCAAGUCCCAUAAGUUUGACAUGUAUUUGGCCAAUAUUCCCCCUUUUCUCCAAAACUAAUGCAGAUAUCAUAUGUGUCUUCAGGGUUAUAAAACUAGGUGAUGGCAUCAAGUCCUGUAACUCUGACAUUUAUUUUGGCCAAAUUAUGCCCACUUUUGGUAAUAUUCCUGCUUGUGGGACAACAAUUUGAAUAGUCAAGCAUUGGCUGUCUUACGGACAGCUCUUGUUUAUCUUCAAAAUUAUGCAUGGUAAUUACUGCUAUCGUCAUUUGUGUAUUUAAUAACAACUUCAUUAAUUAACAUUAAAUUGAAAUUGUGAUAUACUUGAAAAUGUUCCUUAUAUAUAAAUCAGUUUAUUUUAAAAAAGUAGAUGUUACUUCCAUAAUUGUGCUCAGAAAUCUUGUUCCAGUAACUGUCUCAUUUUUCAGGUGUUGUUGCCUCCUUUUGGACUUAGAAAAUCCUGGUUAAAGUUUUACAUGCAACUUACUAUCUCCAAAACUAAUUCAGAUACAGAUUUGAAGUCUAGUGAUGUAAUUUUUAAAUUUUCAUCUGAAAGAAAGGAACCAGACAGCAUGAUAGGAUAUCUUUAGACAUUCAAAGAUUGGUAUCUACCAUUCUGUAGUGUACAGCUUUAAGUUAUCAUGCACAUUUCAGUUCGAAAGGUUGUUCUUUUAAAAUUUCAGCUGUCAUUCAGUGGAUUAGUUUGCUACUUGUAUUUGCUGCAGUCUCAACUUCCUGCUAAAAUUGUGAAAAGUGCUAAUGUAUUGUUUGUACACAAACACAGGAAAAUUUGUAUUGUAUUUCCUGUUGAAAAUACAACUUAUAGUCUGAAAUGUAUGCAACAUGUAUAUAUUUUAUGAUCCCAUUGUAUUUUAUAGACAUUUGAAUAAUUUGAGUGAUUCAUGACUAUAAUUAAAAUGUAAAGUAAA